UGGGAGAACUUCUGUGUUUAAAUAUAAGCAAAUACAUUUAAAAAGAGGAGUGGUCAAAGCAGAUUGCAUCCAGAGAAAAACAACUACAAGAGCACAGUUGUCAAAUAAGGAAAUUGAAGGAGUCUGGUACUGAGAAAAGGGUAAUAUGUGUAUGUGAUGUGUUUCUGCACCUGGAAAAAAUUAUUGAUAGGUACAUAAUAGCUUUAUAGAAAAAUAUGAAUAAAGAGAAAAUGAUAAAAAUGUAAAAGUCAAUUAACCUAAUAACUCCAACAGCAAAAGGUUACUCUAAAAAAUGAUA
RNAcentral lists this long non-coding RNA (298 nucleotides) under Pan troglodytes (chimpanzee). Its description in RNAcentral is "long non-coding RNA NONPTRT007522". The record is from RNAcentral. Lineage: Eukaryota; Metazoa; Chordata; Mammalia; Primates; Hominidae.